UUAAAUUGAAGAGUUUGAUCAUGGCUCAGAUUGAACGCUGGCGGCAGGCCUAACACAUGCAAGUCGAACGGUAACAGGAAGCAGCUU
Molecule: ribosomal RNA, 87 nt
Filed under: Escherichia coli
Lineage: Bacteria; Pseudomonadati; Pseudomonadota; Gammaproteobacteria; Enterobacterales; Enterobacteriaceae
Also listed under: 56 other names
Description: partial 16S ribosomal RNA
Rfam family: Bacterial small subunit ribosomal RNA
Source: RNAcentral